Molecule: long non-coding RNA, 2282 nt
Filed under: Setaria italica (foxtail millet)
Lineage: Eukaryota; Viridiplantae; Streptophyta; Magnoliopsida; Poales; Poaceae
Description: long non-coding RNA (SITA_LNC007104)
Source: RNAcentral
GGUGGGCGUUUGGUUCCUACAGGAGGAACUUUUGGUAGCUUGUAAGUAAUAUAUGAAGGAAUUUGGGAGAGAAAUUGCUUUGGGAGUUGUGCUUCUGCUCCAAAGGUUAUUCCUCUGGGUAUAGAGACCAACUCGACUACUCGAGGCAAGGCCGUAAAGAUUCGAUAAAACCCCCGUUUCGCCAAGCACGGAGGCAUAAGACGAAUGCUAGCUGCGAGCAGUCAAUGGAAAACGGCGCCCCGCUCCGGCGUUCCGCCGCUGGGAACAGCACGGCGCUGCGUGCCCACCGCCACCCGAGCACAGCCGAGCGCGCUGUUGCCAUCGGCGUUGUCGCGAGCGAGCGAGCCAGCCAGCCAACCGGCUGGUGGCCGCCUGGCCGGGAGAAAAGGCGCACGCACCCCUGCCGCGUCCGCGUCCCCGUCCCCGUCCCCGACCCUCAUUUCCAUCGGGAAUCGGGAUUAGCAAGCCGCGGCCAGGAGCCCUUUGGACAAUUUCCCAGCCUAACAUUUUGAGGUAAGUAUCAAAAGUGGGCUAAAUCCCUGAUUGGGCCGAAUAAGUUGCUUCUGGUAGCAGGUAAGGAAUCGACAGAGAUCCCAGAUGUGGUUCAAGAGUUUAGGCCUCUAAGCGCGGAAGAGAUAGCUCUUAGAAGAAGAGAGGUGAAAAAUAGAUUCCUAGCAAUGACAGCGGUAGAGGAACUACGAAUCUGACAGCAGUCUAGAAUCUUUUACCUAUCAAGUACAUUGGUGGCGUCUAAUAGGCGGUCUCAUGCAUUGACACGUAAUCUUGAGACGAUUUAACAGGCGACCUGUACAAUGAGUUAUCCUAUAAGUUGUCUGGUAGUGGUAUAUAAUUCCUUAAUUUGUGCAUAAGAAAAAUAAAAUAUUAUGAGUUGCAUGGCAACAAUAACUCGUACAAUGGUUGUUAAGUUGUCUCGUAGUCUUACAAUUUAGCUCAUGAGGUGGUUAUUUCGCGAAGCAACGACCUCUUUCUCUCUCCUCGCUCUCCAUCCUCCACAUCAUUAAAAAUCCUACGUGGCACUGCAUGAGACGACAUAUGAGACCGUUGACUUAUAGCAAUGUACUUGCUCUAAUAAGAGCGCGCGCCAGGAGGGAAAUUAACCAUCGAAGUCCGACAGGUUGCGGCACCACCAACGACGUUUCCUUUCCCGAGCUUCUCGACACUUUUCUUGCGUGCGCCGGUUCUUUGGACGAAAAUUGGAGACAAAGCUUGGAAACAAAAAUCUUGAAACAAACUUUUGCAACAAACUUGUAUAUAAAAGUUUGGAAGCAAAAUUAAUGAAACACAAAUUUAGGGGAUAAUUUUGUGCAACAAGUUUGUAUGCAACAAAUUUAUGCGACAAAUCUGUACGCACAAAUUUAUACAACAAACAUGUACGCAUAAAUUUAGAGGACAAAUUUGUACGCAUAAAUUUAUAGGACAAAUUUGUGCAACAAAUCAAAUUUAUACGCAACAAAUUUAUUCAAAUAAAUAAAAAAACUCGCUGGGAUCCGCCGUCCACCGCGCGUCACCUCUCACCGCCACUCGCAGGGGAUCCUCUACCGUGAGCCGCUGCUCGUCAGGAUCCGCCCUACUCCAGAUGCCGCCUCCAUCCCACUGCUUGCACAGGCUCCGUCGGAGCUUCUUGUCUCCGAGCCUCCUCUCCGCGCCCCGCCUUGCACCAAAGCUCUCCGUCGAAGCUCCUCAUCUCCGGCCAACUUCUUCACUGCUGCCCCAGCUUGCCCGGACGCUGCCUCCACCGAAAAGGGAAGCGGGAAGGAGUCUGAGCCGCAUACCGGCGGUGAAACAGAAGGAGCAGGGACCUUGUCUAGCGCGGCGACCUCACCCACCGGUGCUUCAUGCUCGUCGCACGGGGCCGGGCUCCUGCCCAUCUUCCCAGAGAGAGAGCAUGCCGGGAUGGUGGGGAUUACUGCCUUGCAGGGAUAAGGCUAGAGGGAAAGGGGGGAUUACUGUCUUGGAGGGAUAAGGCUAGAGGGAAAGGGGAAACGGGGAAGGAAAUUAUGGAAAGAUUGGGCCCUAUGUGCACAUGGUUCGAAAGUUUUGCGGAAGCUCGCGGCGAUCACCAGCGUUGCGUGUUAAAGGGCCAUCUAAUUUAGCCUACCAAUUUUAAGGAUCGGACUCCAUAAGGGCGAGACUGAAAUAUAUAUGAUUUUAAGCUAAAUAUAUUUAGGGUUGAGUUGGAUUGUGAACGAGGCAUGAGAGCCAUGAUCCGUUACCACCCCUACUCUUACCUUGAGGCUGAGGAUGCUAACUUACAAUUAUUC